GAAUAUUGCGCAAUGGACGAAAGCCUGACGCAGCCACGCCGCGUGAGUGAUGAAGGCCUUCGGGUUGUAAAGCUCUGUCGGGAGGGACGAAAGGGGCAACCCUUGACGGUACCUCGCAAGAAAGCACCGGCUAACUCUGUGCCAGCAGCCGCGGUAAUACAGAGGGUGCAAGCGUUGUCCGGAAUGAUUGGGUGUAAAGGGUGUGCAGGCGGGGCGGUAAGCCAGGGGUGAAAGUCUACGGCUCAACCGUAGGAUGGCCUUUGAUACUGUCGUCCUUGAGUCCCGGAGAGGCCAUUAGAAUUCGUGGUGUAGCGGUGAAAUGCGUAGAUAUCACGAGGAAUACCGGAAGCGUAGGCGGAUGGCUGGACGGCGACUGACGCUCAGGCACGAAAGCGUGGGGAGCGAAC
Molecule: ribosomal RNA, 407 nt
Filed under: uncultured bacterium
Lineage: Bacteria
Description: bacterial SSU rRNA
Rfam family: Bacterial small subunit ribosomal RNA
Source: RNAcentral